Molecule: small RNA, 252 nt
Filed under: Arabidopsis thaliana (thale cress)
Lineage: Eukaryota; Viridiplantae; Streptophyta; Magnoliopsida; Brassicales; Brassicaceae
Description: ATSL202130
Source: RNAcentral
CUAUGAUCAGAUCUCCACAUUAGCCGGCAAAAACCGCAUAGGGGCCAAGCGAAUCCAGAAGGGUACUAACCUAAACACUAACCACCUAACUAACCUAGAGAUUACCCUAAUCUAAACCAUCCUCAAGAACCCUAAUCACUACUCAAGCAACAUUCUCAAGAACACAAACCCAGAAAUUACUGAAAUCAAAUCAAAAUGUAGAUCUAAACAAGCUAAACAACUUUACUAAAACAACUAAAUGCAAAAACAAAA